AAUAUAUUGUAAACUGAAUACUUGAAUAGUUGAAAGAAGAUAAACUCCAAAACACCAAAACAUAACCGAUCCAAAGGAACCGGCACUGGUUGUAACCCCCACCAACCUAGCCACAUCACCCACCUCAUACUCUUCCAGAAACUUCUCCAUAUUCUCCCACGUCGCCGGCUUAUGUCCUCGUCCACUGUUGUUGCGUUCCUCCACUCUCUGGCGCCAUAUAUCACAAUCAGCAUGCCUACACUCAAUAAUAAGAAGUUGAGCGGAAAACGAGGCGGCGAGUUCACGAAGAGGGUGGAGGUGGGCCCUACGAGAAAGAGGGGAAUCGAGAACAACGUUGAGGCCGAGGCUAAGUUGAGUUGAUGCAAUCUGUCAGAUGAUGUCGUAUGAUAGGUCAUUGAGAAAAGAACGGGGUUUUGGAUAUUUUUGAAUUGCAUGUAUAUCCAACAAACUUUCUCUUCCACACGCAUUUUCCAUGGAUUGGUGGCAAAGGUACUGAGAGAAGAAAGGGAAAUAAUUGUUGAAUAAUUUUAUAUAUUUUCACUUUUGUCAGUUUCAUCCCAAUUUUUUUUCUUUUUCAUUUUUCAAUUACAUCCACAUAAGUAAUGUAAACUGAAUUGCCGUAAAUCUAGUUCACAUAUAUAUGAAUUUAAUGCAGAUAACAUAUUUGGAUGUAAUUGAAAAAAACAUAGGUGAAAUUAGUUACUAUUUGAUACUCUUUACUUAUUUAUAUUACAUAAAAUUGUAUUUGUUUUA
This is a long non-coding RNA of Cicer arietinum (chickpea), 753 nucleotides long. RefSeq lists it as uncharacterized. The record is from RefSeq and is a predicted model, not a curated record. Lineage: Eukaryota; Viridiplantae; Streptophyta; Magnoliopsida; Fabales; Fabaceae.